UGUUGGGCCCCAAGAGCGUCA
RNAcentral lists this unclassified non-coding RNA (21 nucleotides) under Chlamydomonas reinhardtii. Its description in RNAcentral is "small RNA Cre_3676". Lineage: Eukaryota; Viridiplantae; Chlorophyta; Chlorophyceae; Chlamydomonadales; Chlamydomonadaceae. The record is from RNAcentral.